This 266-nucleotide ribosomal RNA is filed under the name Escherichia coli. RNAcentral describes it as "partial 23S ribosomal RNA". It matches the Rfam family "Bacterial large subunit ribosomal RNA", at positions 2682 to 2925 of the family's 2925-position model. Lineage: Bacteria; Pseudomonadati; Pseudomonadota; Gammaproteobacteria; Enterobacterales; Enterobacteriaceae. The record is from RNAcentral.
UACGAGAGGACCGGAGUGGACGCAUCACUGGUGUUCGGGUUGUCAUGCCAAUGGCACUGCCCGGUAGCUAAAUGCGGAAGAGAUAAGUGCUGAAAGCAUCUAAGCACGAAACUUGCCCCGAGAUGAGUUCUCCCUGACUCCUUGAGAGUCCUGAAGGAACGUUGAAGACGACGACGUUGAUAGGCCGGGUGUGUAAGCGCAGCGAUGCGUUGAGCUAACCGGUACUAAUGAACCGUGAGGCUUAACCUUACAACGCCGAAGCUGUU